CAGUCCUACGGGGGAGCAGCAGUGGGGAAUAUUGCACAAUGGGCGCAAGCCUGAUGCAGCGACGCCGCGUGAGGGAUGACGGCCUUCGGGUUGUAAACCUCUUUCACCCAUGACGAAGCGCAAGUGACGGUAGUGGGAGAAGAAGCACCGGCCAACUACGUGCCAGCAGCCGCGGUAAUACGUAGGGUGCGAGCGUUGUCCGGAAUUACUGGGCGUAAAGAGCUCGUAGGCGGUUUGUCGCGUCGUCUGUGAAAUCCCGCAGCUCAACUGCGGGCUUGCAGGCGAUACGGGCAGACUCGAGUACUGCAGGGGAGACUGGAAUUCCUGGUGUAGCGGUGAAAUGCGCAGAUAUCAGGAGGAACACCGGUGGCGAAGGCGGGUCUCUGGGCAGUAACUGACGCUGAGGAGCGAAAGCGUGGGUAGCGAACAGGAUUAGAUACCCUGGUAGUCCACGCCGUAAACGGUGGGCGCUAGGUGUGGGUUUCCUUCCACGGGAUCCGUGCCGUAGCCAACGCAUUAAGCGCCCCGCCUGGGAGACGCCC
This 542-nucleotide ribosomal RNA is filed under the name Rhodococcus sp. BA10. RNAcentral's name for it is "bacterial SSU rRNA". It matches the Rfam family "Bacterial small subunit ribosomal RNA", at positions 334 to 887 of the family's 1533-position model. Lineage: Bacteria; Bacillati; Actinomycetota; Actinomycetes; Mycobacteriales; Nocardiaceae. The record is from RNAcentral.